GCUACCAUGCAGUCGAACGGUGAAGAGGAGCUUGCUCCUUGGAUCAGUGGCGAACGGGUGAGUAACACGUGAGCAAUCUGCCCUUGACUCUGGGAUAACUGCGGGAAACUGUAGCUAAUACCGGAUAUUACCGUGGAAGGCAUCUUCUGUGGUGGAAAGAAUUUUGGUCAAGGAUGAGCUCGCGGCCUAUCAGCUAGUUGGUGAGGUAAUGGCUCACCAAGGCGACGACGGGUAGCCGGCCUGAGAGGGUGACCGGCCACACUGGGACUGAGACACGGCCCAGACUCCUACGGGAGGCAGCAGUGGGGAAUAUUGCACAAUGGGCGCAAGCCUGAUGCAGCAACGCCGCGUGAGGGACGACGGCCUUCGGGUUGUAAACCUCUUUUAGUAGGGAAGAAGCGACUGGGUUUUCCUGGGAGUGACGGUACCUGCAGAAAAAGCACCGGCUAACUACGUGCCAGCAGCCGCGGUAAUACGUAGGGUGCAAGCGUUGUCCGGAAUUAUUGGGCGUAAAGAGCUCGUAGGCGGUUUGUCGCGUCUGCUGUGAAAACCCGAGGCUCAACCUCGGGCCUGCAGUGGGUACGGGCAGACUAGAGUGCGGUAGGGGAGAUUGGAAUUCCUGGUGUAGCGGUGGAAUGCGCAGAUAUCAGGAGGAACACCAAUGGCGAAGGCAGAUCUCUGGGCCGUAACUGACGCUGAGGAGCGAAAGCAUGGGGAGCGAACAGGAUUAGAUACCCUGGUAGUCCAUGCCGUAAACGUUGGGAACUAGAUGUGGGGACCAUUCCACGGUCUCCGUGUCGCAGCUAACGCAUUAAGUUCCCCGCCUGGGGAGUACGGCCGCAGGCUAAUACAGA
RNAcentral lists this ribosomal RNA (854 nucleotides) under Cryobacterium sp. Its description in RNAcentral is "bacterial SSU rRNA". It matches the Rfam family "Bacterial small subunit ribosomal RNA", at positions 48 to 903 of the family's 1533-position model. Lineage: Bacteria; Bacillati; Actinomycetota; Actinomycetes; Micrococcales; Microbacteriaceae. The record is from RNAcentral.